RNAcentral lists this ribosomal RNA (477 nucleotides) under uncultured Planctomycetales bacterium. Its description in RNAcentral is "bacterial SSU rRNA". It matches the Rfam family "Bacterial small subunit ribosomal RNA", at positions 365 to 832 of the family's 1533-position model. Lineage: Bacteria; Pseudomonadati; Planctomycetota; Planctomycetia; Planctomycetales. The record is from RNAcentral.
UUCGCAAUGCCCGAAAGGGUGACGAAGCGACGCCGCGUGUGGGAAGAAGGCCUUCGGGUUGUAAACCACUGUCGGGAGUUAGGAAAUGUAAGGGUGCUAAUAGUAUCCUUACUUGACUAAGGCUCCGGAGGAAGCCACGGCUAACUCUGUGCCAGCAGCCGCGGUAAUACAGAGGCGGCAAGCGUUGUUCGGAAUUAUUGGGCGUAAAGAGCACGUAGGCGGCCUUGUAAGUCAGUUGUGAAAGCCUUCUGCUUAACGGAAGAACAGCAGCUGUUACUGCAAGGCUAGAGUGCGGAAGGGGAGAGUGGAACUUCUGGUGGAGCGGUGAAAUGCGUAGAUAUCAGAAGGAACACCGGCGGCGAAGGCGACUCUCUGGUCCGUAACUGACGCUGAGUGUGCGAAAGCUAGGGGAGCAAACGGGAUUAGAUACCCCGGUAGUCCUAGCCGUAAACGAUGGGCACUAAGUAGAGGGGUUUU